AGUGAACGCUGGCGGUAGGCCUAACACAUGCAAGUCGAACGGCAGCACAGUAAGAGCUUGCUCUUACGGGUGGCGAGUGGCGGACGGGUGAGGAAUACAUCGGAAUCUACUUUUUCGUGGGGGAUAACGUAGGGAAACUUACGCUAAUACCGCAUACGACCUACGGGUGAAAGCAGGGGAUCUUCGGACCUUGCGCGAUUGAAUGAGCCGAUGUCGGAUUAGCUAGUUGGCGGGGUAAAGGCCCACCAAGGCGACGAUCCGUAGCUGGUCUGAGAGGAUGAUCAGCCACACUGGAACUGAGACACGGUCCAGACUCCUACGGGAGGCAGCAGUGGGGAAUAUUGGACAAUGGGCGCAAGCCUGAUCCAACCAUAUCGCGUGGGUGAAGAAGGCCUUCGGGUUGUAAAGCCCUUUUGUUGGGAAAGAAAAGCAGCAGGUUAAUACCCCGCUGUUCUGACGGUACCCAAAGAAUAAGCACCGGCUAACUUCGUG
This 492-nucleotide ribosomal RNA is filed under the name uncultured bacterium. Its description in RNAcentral is "partial 16S ribosomal RNA". It matches the Rfam family "Bacterial small subunit ribosomal RNA", at positions 29 to 507 of the family's 1533-position model. The record is from RNAcentral.